CGUACACUCCUACGGGAGGCAGCAGUGGGGAAUAUUACACAAUGGGCGCAAGCCUGAUGCAGCCAUGCCGCGUGUAUGAAGAAGGCCUUCGGGUUGUAAAGUACUUUCAGCGGGGAGGAAGGCAAUACGGUUAAUAACCGUGUUGAUUGACGUUACCCGCAGAAGAAGCACCGGCUAACUCCGUGCCAGCAGCCGCGGUAAUACGGAGGGUGCAAGCGUUAAUCGGAAUUACUGGGCGUAAAGCGCACGCAGGCGGUCUGUCAAGUCGGAUGUGAAAUCCCCGGGCUCAACCUGGGAACUGCAUUCGAAACUGGCAGGCUUGAGUCUUGUAGAGGGGGGUAGAAUUCCAGGUGUAGCGGUGAAAUGCGUAGAGAUCUGGAGGAAUACCGGUGGCGAAGGCGGCCCCCUGGACAAAGACUGACGCUCAGGUGCGAAAGCGUGGGGAGCAAACAGGAUUAGAUACCCGAGUAGUCCCAUGA
Molecule: ribosomal RNA, 479 nt
Filed under: uncultured organism
Description: partial 16S ribosomal RNA
Rfam family: Bacterial small subunit ribosomal RNA
Source: RNAcentral